ACUCCUACGGGAGGCAGCAGUAGGAAUAUUGGACAAUGGGCGAAAGCCUGAUCCAGCAAUGCCGCGUGAGUGAUGAAGGUUUUAUGGAUCGUAAAGCUCUGUCGUAUAGGAAUAAAUGCCUGUGGUUAAUACCCGCAGGAGCUGAAGGUACUAUACAAGAAAGCACCGGCUAACUACGUGCCAGCAGCCGCGGUAAUACGUAGGGUGCUAGCGUUGUUCGGAAUUACUGGGCGUAAAGCGUAUGUAGGCGGCCAUUUAAGUCAGAUGUGAAAGCCCCGGGCUCAACCUGGGACGUGCAUCUGAUACUAUUUGGCUUGAGUACAGGAGAGGGUAGUGGAAUUUCAGGUGUAGUGGUGAAAUACGUAGAUAUCUGAAGGAACAUCGGUGGCGAAGGCGGCUGCCUGGCCUUGUACUGACGCUGAGAUACGAAAGCGUGGGGAGCAAACAGGAUUAGAUACCCUGGUAGGCU
Molecule: ribosomal RNA, 469 nt
Filed under: uncultured bacterium
Lineage: Bacteria
Description: bacterial SSU rRNA
Rfam family: Bacterial small subunit ribosomal RNA
Source: RNAcentral